Non-coding RNA from Cordylochernes scorpioides, 87 nucleotides. The record is from the annotation of a GenBank genome assembly. Lineage: Eukaryota; Metazoa; Arthropoda; Arachnida; Pseudoscorpiones; Chernetidae.
GAUGUCUCAGCUCUACCUAUAUAAUCCAUUGUUGUUGUUUCCCAUUGGCUCAAGCCCAGUUAGUUCAGUCGGUAGAGCAUGAGAAUC